AUGUGGAAGAAGCCGAUGGCAGGUGUUGUUAAAAUCAAUCUAGAUGCGUCACUACAUGCUGAAACACUGUCGGGAGCCACGGGAGUGGUAGCGUGUGAUGAUCAUGGAGAGUUUAUAGCAGCAGCAACUUGGUAUUUACCUCUUAUAAGCAUUGUGGAUUCGGCAGAGAUCACUGCAAUUCAAAAUGGAUUUAUGCUAGCUGCGAAUAUUGGGUGCAACCGGCUGAUUAUUGAAUCUGAUAGCACCUUUGCUUUUGAAGGUGUUAACCAAGUCGAUGCAUAUUUGGGUCCUGAUCUUCCGAUCAUUGUGAGUGUAGGCAUAUUGGGUGCAAGUACGACUGUUGUCCAUUGCUUUAGAGAGGCUAAACAUGCUUCUAGUAGUUGA
Molecule: ribosomal RNA, 384 nt
Filed under: Triticum aestivum (bread wheat)
Lineage: Eukaryota; Viridiplantae; Streptophyta; Magnoliopsida; Poales; Poaceae
Description: partial small subunit ribosomal RNA
Source: RNAcentral